GAAGAAGAAGUACAAGGUGAAGGAUCAAUUCCAAUGAAUGUAGAUGAUAAAAAAGAAGAGGUAGAAGAGGAGGAAGACGACGGCGACGAAGAAGAAAUACAAGAUGAUGAAGAAAAAGGUCAAGGAUCAAGUCUACUCAAUAUAGAUGAUCAAAAAGAUGGUAUCCAAGUUCUGGAAGCUUUGGCGCUUGAACACCUCUUAAGAUCAGACUUUUCUUCUCAACAAGAACUUGUAGCAAAUUUACCACAGCAAACCCCUUUGAUUGAAGGUGCUAAUGAGAGUUGCA
RNAcentral lists this unclassified non-coding RNA (286 nucleotides) under Hevea brasiliensis (rubber tree). The record is from RNAcentral. Lineage: Eukaryota; Viridiplantae; Streptophyta; Magnoliopsida; Malpighiales; Euphorbiaceae.